RNAcentral lists this ribosomal RNA (1372 nucleotides) under uncultured bacterium. Its description in RNAcentral is "bacterial SSU rRNA". It matches the Rfam family "Bacterial small subunit ribosomal RNA", at positions 28 to 1381 of the family's 1533-position model. The record is from RNAcentral.
GAUGAACGCUGGCGGCGUGCCUAAUACAUGCAAGUCGAGCGAACGGACGAGAAGCUUGCUUCUCUGAUGUUAGCGGCGGACGGGUGAGUAACACGUGGAUAACCUACCUAUAAGACUGGGAUAACUUCGGGGAACCGGAGCUAAUACCGGAUAAUAUUUUGAACCGCAUGGUUCAAAAGUGAAAGACGGUCUUGCUGUCACUUAUAGAUGGAUCCGCGCUGCAUUAGCUAGUUGGUAAGGUAACGGCUUACCAAGGCAACGAUGCAUAGCCGACCUGAGAGGGUGAUCGGCCACACUGGAACUGAGACACGGUCCAGACUCCUACGGGAGGCAGCAGUAGGGAAUCUUCCGCAAUGGGCGAAAGCCUGACGGAGCAACGCCGCGUGAGUGAUGAAGGUCUUCGGAUCGUAAAACUCUGUUAUUAGGGAAGAACAUAUGUGUAAGUAACUGUGCACAUCUUGACGGUACCUAAUCAGAAAGCCACGGCUAACUACGUGCCAGCAGCCGCGGUAAUACGUAGGUGGCAAGCGUUAUCCGGAAUUAUUGGGCGUAAAGCGCGCGUAGGCGGUUUUUUAAGUCUGAUGUGAAAGCCCACGGCUCAACCGUGGAGGGUCAUUGGAAACUGGAAAACUUGAGUGCAGAAGAGGAAAGUGGAAUUCCAUGUGUAGCGGUGAAAUGCGCAGAGAUAUGGAGGAACACCAGUGGCGAAGGCGACUUUCUGGUCUGUAACUGACGCUGAUGUGCGAAAGCGUGGGGAUCAAACAGGAUUAGAUACCCUGGUAGUCCACGCCGUAAACGAUGAGUGCUAAGUGUUAGGGGGUUUCCGCCCCUUAGUGCUGCAGCUAACGCAUUGAGCACUCCGCCUGGGGAGUACGACCGCAAGGUUGAAACUCAAAGGAAUUGACGGGGACCCGCACAAGCGGUGGAGCAUGUGGUUUAAUUCGAAGCAACGCGAAGAACCUUACCAAAUCUUGACAUCCUUUGACAACUCUAGAGAUAGAGCUUUCCCCUUCGGGGGACAAAGUGACAGGUGGUGCAUGGUUGUCGUCAGCUCGUGUCGUGAGAUGUUGGGUUAAGUCCCGCAACGAGCGCAACCCUUAAGCUUAGUUGCCAUCAUUAAGUUGGGCACUCUAAGUUGACUGCCGGUGACAAACCGGAGGAAGGUGGGGAUGACGUCAAAUCAUCAUGCCCCUUAUGAUUUGGGCUACACACGUGCUACAAUGGACAAUACAAAGGGCAGCGAAACCGCGAGGUCAAGCAAAUCCCAUAAAGUUGUUCUCAGUUCGGAUUGUAGUCUGCAACUCGACUACAUGAAGCUGGAAUCGCUAGUAAUCGUAGAUCAGCAUGCUACGGUGAAUACGUUCCCGGGUCU